This is a long non-coding RNA of Melanotaenia boesemani (Boeseman's rainbowfish), 421 nucleotides long. RefSeq lists it as uncharacterized. The transcript has 3 exons. Lineage: Eukaryota; Metazoa; Chordata; Actinopteri; Atheriniformes; Melanotaeniidae. The record is from RefSeq and is a predicted model, not a curated record.
UAUCUUGUAUUGUUUCUUUUUUUUAAUUAAUCUCAACAAAACCUAAACUGCUCAUAAAAAAACUAAAGGAUGGUGCCAUAAUUUUGCAGCUGAGAGGAAAGCAAAUCUAGCAUGGAAAGAUGGAUGAUGGUCGAGUGUGGACAUGGACAGAAUGACAAGUCCUGACCCGCCAGCAACUAAAACACACGCCCAGGAAUGUAAUCACGUAUUGUCCUUUGAAGACGUGAUAUGGUGCGGACUUCUACCACAGGUUACAAGAGGUAAAAGAAGAAGAAAAAGCCCCGGAAAUGAAAUGGAAACUCCGGGGCUUGGUUGAAGUGUCCCGUUAGGAAGAUCCCCACAGUGCCGAUGAUGAAAAGAAGAAUGGCAGCCCAGAAACACACCUUGUCAAUCAUCUUCCCAAUCAGCACCCAGCUUUCAA